This is a non-coding RNA of Brugia malayi, 252 nucleotides long. NCBI's taxonomy places the organism in Eukaryota, Metazoa, Nematoda, Chromadorea, Rhabditida, Onchocercidae. The record is from RefSeq and is a predicted model, not a curated record.
UAUAGGAGGAGAGAGAGAGAGGGAGAGAGAGAGAGAGAGAGGUUGACAAUUGAAGUGUGAUACAUAUAGCCUGCAGUGCAACUGACUGGUACCGGAUGGUACCAAUGCGCGGAUCUGCAACGAUUCUUGCUGGUGAGCAUUUCCUCUGGGAUAGUGGUAGUUGGUUACCGUGCUGUCAAUUCAUUGAAAUUUAACUUUCUCUCUCUCUCCCUCUCUCUCUCUCUCUCUCUCUCUCUCUUUAUUUUUCUGUUU